RNAcentral lists this long non-coding RNA (17568 nucleotides) under Nicotiana benthamiana. RNAcentral's name for it is "long non-coding RNA (NBEN_LNC037226)". The record is from RNAcentral. Lineage: Eukaryota; Viridiplantae; Streptophyta; Magnoliopsida; Solanales; Solanaceae.
CUCAAUCCAACACCUCCUCAGGCCUCUUCGUCUCUAAAUAAGAAACCCUAGAAGCCGCCCUCAAAUUCUCUACACCACCUCUGUUGAUGGUGGGCUCCAAACCAUCCUGAAUUCAUACCACGCAAACCCCAAGCCCUUCUAAAUCUUAUCCCCAUAUCUAUUUUCCUAAAAUCUCAAGUAAUUCCGCAAAUUCCAAAUCUAGGAAGUUCAAACCCUAAUUUAUUUUAUUUUUCUAAUUUCGCACAAGUUUCAUCUCACUUUAACCAGUAACCUAUGUAAGUUGAUUGCUCUUGACGAGAUCAAUCGGUGGGCAUUGGUUUUGGUUCUUUCUGAGAUGCAAGAUUUUGACGAACUCGUAAGAUUCCAGCCAAAUGUCUACUCCCGCCAUCGUUCAUCGAUUCGUUUCAUUUGGUCAAGACAUUCCAGCGUGAAUUGGUACUUUCCCUUCUUUUUUCUUGUGACUUUUUUAUUGUAGUAUAUUUGAUAUUUUUUAAAUUUUAUUUUUAUUUGCUUCAUUUAUUUGUCUUGUUUUCUUUAUGUAGUGGAAUCCAUCUUAAUUUGGUAGUUAAAUUAGGUUUAAUCAUAAGAGUCUGGAUUGUUUAUUUGUUUUCUAUUUUCUGAAUUUGACCUUUUUUUAUUUGAUAAUUUCUAAUUGUUUGGGUUUUUGUAUUGGCUGUGGUCAUUAUUGACCUGGCUGAGAGACCCGUUCAUUUGUGUCCGUGGGUUAAUUUGACCCAGGUUGGCAUUCUGAAUGUAAAAACAUGGAUGUCAAGGGGUAUUUUGACAUUUGGUGUUUGAGGGAAUCAUUUUCUGUUAGGAGAAUGCUUCUAGGGGAUAAGAUGAUAGUUGGUUUGAGAAGAGCAGAGGGUUUUAGAUAUUUUAAAAGAGGUAAAAAAGGAUAAAACAACCAAGAAUUCGAGGUUGGAAAGGGAAUUGGUUGGUUGGACUAGGGCUGCCUUAGGCAUGCUUAUAUAAGACCUUUUUCCCGUCAUUUUUAAGCAGCCUUUCAUACUUUAGAGAUACUAAAAAUUUCCUGCAUUUUGUUGGUUAAAACUUGCUUUGGUUCUGCUCUUGAUCUUCAUAGAUAGUCAGAAUUUUCCAAACUUCCAUAGAAUUUCUGUUGUCUAGGUUACAAAUGAUCUAAGGAAAUUGAGAUUACAUGUGCUGAAUUGAUGAUUUACAUUCUGCUAUUGGUGCCUAUUUCUUCAUUUUUCUUUUGCUCUAAACUUUGUCCCGGAUGUCUCUUGGACAUUAUCAAAUGUGAAGCUCAAACUUGAAGUAUGUUAAUUGAAUGUAUAUAUCUAAGCAUUAGUAUCAGCUUGAUGCAAUUUAGAAUCUAUCUUUUUUUUAUGCAUUUCAGUAGUUGAUACUGUAAUUUGUUCUUGUAUUCACUCAUUCUAUUGAUAAUAUGUUCCAUGAUAGGUUUGUGUUUGGACUUUAACUUUUCAUGAUAUUGGUUUGGCUAAAACUUUCCUUGUUAAGUAUAUAAUGUCUGGGCUAUUGUAGCAGGGGUUUUGGGACUCAUCUUGAUGGGUUAUGUUUAGUUCAAGUUAGUAAUGAAGUUCAGCUCGAGAUUAACUCGUAUCAUGACUCUGUUAUUUUAGGAUAUUAGUUGUAUUACUUGAAUAAAUCUAGGAACCACUGUUGAAUUGUAAUACUUAGUUCAAUAUCUGAGGUAUUUUAUUACACGUAUGAAUUCAAUGGUAGCUUAGUAGUAGUUUCAAUUCUCAAAUGUAUAUGGCCUGCAACUAAUUUUAGCAAAUGAUCUCCAUGUUCAGUAUUGUACCUAAGGCAAUAAGUUUAUAAAUGGGCCUAUUGAGUUAGCUUGCCUAAUAUGAGGGCCGAAACUGUCAGAUCCAGUUCUCUUUUGUUCUUGAGCCCAAUCUUAGGCCCAAGGGUCAUUAGCCUUGGCAUAUCAUGUGACCGUUUGGAUUCAUAUACUAGAAUGCAUUUUUGUUGUUCUCCUUUUGGCUUCAUUUUGGUUCGAAGUCGGCUCUAACUUGUUAAGUGUUUUAUAUGAUGACAAUGAAAUAUACCCCUUCUUUACUGGGAUUUCAUUACUAAAUGGUUGGGUUUAAGGCUAGUCAAUGCCGGCCAAAUCAGGUGUGUUUUGCCCUCCCUGUCUCCCCAUUUAGUUUUGUCUAAGCCCAAUCCCUAUUAGACCAUUUGCUCUCGUUUUUUCUGCAAUAAUUUAGGUUUGUAAUUGGCCCCCCAAAAAUAGUUGAAGGACUAGCAUGUAUCUCAAGUUUUUUACCGGCAGUUCAAAUCCGCCCUGUUCUUUAAAAAUAAGUAUGUCUUAGGCAUUAGUCAAACUCUUUCUUAACUAAUAAAUUGAGGUGUGCCAUUUUAACCAAAUCAUAUAUGGCCCUCUCAAACACUUUAAUUAGAUAUUAAUGAUGAAUAUUCGCAAAACAGUCUUUAGGGUCGUUUAAAAUACAAUUGUGAUUGUGUACAUAUUUGUGUGACAAAAUUAUAAUUCUACAAACCAACUCGGAGUAUGCAUUCACGCAACUUUGAUCAAAUUUUGCUUAAUAAUAAUUGGUUUUAUAGGAUGCUAAAUUAAUUUAGGAUUAUAUAGUUUGAGGUGCUCCAUCCAUAAUCUAAUCACACGUGGCCCUCGUAUUAGUUUCAUAAUUCAGAUAUAAAAAUAUCAAAUGCUCGUAGUUUCUUUAGACCCGUUUAAUAUACCAUCGUGAUUGCGUACACGUUUGCGUGACAUAAUUUUUAUCUUAAAAAGAAAAUCAGAGUAUGCAUUCACGCAACUUCGGCCAAACUCUCUCAAUAAUAACAAAGCAUUAUUAAUUGUGGACACGAUCAGGUGACAUGAUUUUUGACGCGCCAAACAAAUGAGUAAACGUACGCGUGACCCGUUUCAAGAUAAUUUCUUAAUUAAAAGCGGCUAAUACACAUAGGUUUUAAAAUCAGUAAUUUAAAAUUUUUAAUAAUCCAACCAUGGUCAAAGCGACCGUGCUAAACCACGAAACUCGGAAAAGCCUAACACUUUCUCCCAGGUUAACAGAAUUCCUUACCGAAAUUUCUGUGCUCGUAGACCGUGAAUAGAGUCAACUUCCUCAAUUCGGGUUUUAAACCAGUCACUUGAGAUACCAUAAAUUUUCCCAAGUUGCAACUUUGAUUUCAAAUAAUUAAUCUCAUUUCAAUUGCCAGUUAAAUAUAAAAAACUCCCUUAUACUCUUUUCGGGGGUAGUAAAAAGGAGGUGUGACAGCUCUAGCGACUCUGCUGGGUAACAAACUCAAAACCUCUGGUUUAGGGUUCUAGAAUUCGAGCUUGUAUAUGAUUUUUAUUUGGUUUUAUUUAUUGUUAAUAUUACUGUAUUUUGUGAAUCUCUCUACCAAUUGCUAAUUGUUUACCGCUUUAAUAUUAUUUGAGCAACAUAUAACUCUCUUCUUACGCCAUCGAUCCUCCAGUUAGCCCUUAUUCCAGACCCAAGAUAACCAAUACUAUCCUCCGGAGCCUACUUAUAAAGCUCCAGACCAUUACUUUUACACUCAUCAUUUCGACUUCCCAGGUUAGACUAAGAAACCACCUAAAAAUCUAGAUCAGGAGGAGACGUUCAGGAAGGCAAGAAUCCUGGAACAGUCAUUUAGAAAUAUACAGGGAUUGGGAGGCCAGGUGAGCGUAGCCUACAAAACUUUAUGUCUAUUCCUCGAUGUUCAACUUCCUGUGGGGUUAAAGAUCCCAAAGUUUGAUUUGUAUGAUGGAUAUCGAGACCCAAUGGCCCAUUUAAGGGGAUUCUGCAAUAAUAUGAGAGGAGCUGGCGGGAAAGAUGAGCUAUUGAUGGCGUACUUCAGCCAAAGUCUGAGUGGUGCGGCAUUGGAGUGGUACGCUUAUCAAGAUCACAGCAGAUGCUAUACAUGGGAUGAUUUGGCCUAAGAAUUUGCUCAUCAUUUCCAAUACAAUAUCGAAAUUGUUACAGAUCGAUUGUCUUUGCCAAAGAUUGAGAAAAAUCCUAGUGAAAGUUUCAGAGAAUAUGGUUUUUGCUAGAGAGAACAAGCGAUAACCCCUCCCCCCGAUGGAGGAGAGUGAAAUGGCGGAGUACUUUCUGCAGGCUCUAGAUCCUACUUACUUUGUCCAUCUAAUAUCGGUCAUAGGCAAGUCAUUCAAAGAGGUAUUAAAGAUGGGUGGCAUGGUUGAAAAAGGGCUUCAAUCAAGCAAAAUCAUUAGCUACUAGGCUAUCAAGGAAACUACCCAAGCCAUUCAUAAUGGUACUUGAGGAGUGAUCAGAAAGAAGAAGAAAGAAGAUGGUUGAUUCAAGAUCACGGCUUGGACCUAGGGGCCUAUCACACCAAUAUACCCAGCCUCAACCACAUCACCAAACCGAUGCCCAAACCCCAUAUAUUCCACCCCAACACUACUUCCCAUCACCGGAACCUUAUAUUUCUGUCCACCAUGCCUCGACAUAUAUUCAACCUCCUGCUUAUUCACAAUGGCAUGCCCAGCCCCACAAAAUACCUACCCAACUCCACAAAUGCUUACCCAUCCCCACGAGCCUACUGUAACCCUACCGGCCCAGGUUUGCAGCCAAAUCCAACAUUUAAAAAUGAGAGUUUGCAACGAAAGAAAACAUUCACCCCGAUAAGAGAAUCUUAUACCAGCUUAUUCCAUUGAUUCAGGCAGUUGGAUAUGCUGAGGCCAAUUGAGUCAAAAUUACCAAACCCUCUUCCAAAGAAUAUUUAUUACUUGAGAUGUGAACAUUGUCCUAGUAGUCCAGGGCAUGAUACGGAGAAGUGAUGGAACUUGAAAAAUUCCAUCCAAGAGCUCAUUGACACAAACCAAAUUGAAGUCUACACCCCAUAGUUGCCCAAUACCCAGAACCCAUUACCAACACAUGAGGAAACAAACAUGAUCAAGAUAGUGUAUAAAUGAGAGGACCCCAAGAAGCCUUCACAUGUUGUCAUGAUGAUUUGUUCCAGUGAGACUCAAGCCAGUUAAAAAACCAAUAGUUGAAGGAUCGGUGAACAAGUUGAGCAUGAAAAACGGUGAACCAUCUGUGUUGGUCAAGAAAAGAUCCCCAAGCGAUGUUGCAGCAAAGCAAAAAAAGUCAAUGGUUGUUCCAGGACUGGAAAACAAGCUUAUCAUAAGUGUAGAGGGCUCCUAGCCUAUGUGGAUCCUGUCAUCAUUAAGCCUAUAACCUAGUUGCUGGUAAUCAGCACCAACUCCAUCCCAUGGAACUAUGAACAGGUGAUAGUGACCUAUAAGGGAAAGGAAGUGAACGAAGAAGUCAACAAGACCUGGGGAUUAACUCGUUCGGGCAGAUGCUUUGCCCCAAAAGAGUUAAGGAUAGCUAAAACAUCAAGAAAUAACCAGUUUUAGUAAAGAAAGCAGUCACUGAAGAAGAUGAGGAGGAGUUUUUGAGAAAGAUGAAGGUAUAAGAAUAUUCCUUCGUGGAACAGUUGAGAAAGACGCAUGCUCAGAUCUCCUUGCUAUCAUUGCUGAUCCAUUCAAACAAGAAUCGUUGGGCCCUGAUGAAAAUUCUAAAGGAAGCUCAUGUGUCCAGCAAAAUUUCAGUGAACCAUUUGGAAAAGAUCACCAACAAAAUAUUUGAAGUGAACAGGGUCACCUUCUCUGAUGACGAGUUGCCUAUGGAAUGUACUGAACACAACAAAGCUCUCUAUCUUACGGUGAAAUGUGAAGAUGAUAUAGUCAUCAGGGUAUUAGUUUACAAUGAUUCCAGUGCAAACAUCUGCCCUCUCUCUACCCUAAACAAGUUGAAAUUUUACGAUGAAAGGUUUCACAAAACAACAUAUGCGUCCGAGGUUUUCUAUGGUGGAGGAAAAGAAUCGGUUGGUUAUAUAUUGCUUUAGUUGACAAUAGGACCGAUGGAAUUCACCAUGAAGUUUCAGCUACUGGACGUGGUCAUCUCCUACAAUUUACUGUAAGGUCGACCUUGGGUUCAUGCCGCCAAAGCAGGCCCAUCCACUCUGCACCAGAUGGUCAAGUUCGAAUGGGAUAGAUAGGAGAUCGUCAUGCAUGGUAAAGAUAAUUUAUAUGCUCACAUUGAUGCGUCUGUCUCGUUCAUUGAGGGUGAAGAUGAUGAAGGGCCUUGGGUCUAUCAAGUUUUUGAAAUAGUGCCGAUCGAGAAAGUUCUAGAAGGGAAAUGUAUUCCAACUCCAAAAGAUAACCUCCACAUCAGUCAUGGUGGCCUUUGAAAUGCUGAAGAAUCGCUUUGUUCCCAGUAAAGGCCUGGGUGCAUCUCUGCAGGGUAUCGUACAACCAGUGCCCCUCCAUGAAAAUUUGGGCACGUUUGGUCUUGGAUUCAAACCUAUAGCGGCAUAUGUGAAAAGUACUAAAGGUUGCAACGGAAGAUGUGGGUGAUUCUAAAGCCUGUUCCGCGUCUCUCCGGGUCUUUUGCCACGCCCGGUUCCAGGACACGCCAAUUGACGAUAGUUCCAAGUUAUGUGGUUGACAUUGAUGAGGAGUUAAUUGAAAGGUUCCAGAGGCUAUUUGAUGAUGUGAACAUGGUGGAAGUUUGAAAAGGUUCUAACAAAGCAGACGUGUAGUUCAUCGGGACGAUUGUAAAGCUUAAAAAUUAGAAGGCUACUCUUCUCCCUACCUGGAAGGAGUCUUGGGAGUUUGUUUUGUUUUGCUUUCAAUCUAGGUCAUUCCAGGUUUGUGACCCAUAUUUUUAUUUUUCCUCUUGUUGAUAUACAAAGCCUAUUAUACUUUAUUUUCAAUGAAAUGUAAUUUUCCUUUUCCAUUAUUCCUAAUAGUUUCAUUUGUGUUUUUUCUUUUAUUCUUUGUAAAGUUCUUUUUUGUUGGUUUCAAUGACAUGACAUGCAUGAGGAAUCUUGUACCUAGUUUUCAAAGCCAAUCUAAUUUUGAAAUAAUAAUCCAAAAAAUAGAGUGUGAUGAUGAAUCAGAAUAUGUUGAGGAUAAGGCCUUUGAAGAGAUUAGUAAGAAACAAAGUCAUUUUGAAGAAAAACUUAAGCAUAAUCUGAAUGAAAAGGAAGCAAUCAAUCUAGAGGAUCCAAAUAAAGUCAGAGAAACUAAGAUAAGUGUUCAUCUCGACCGCAAAUUAGGGAAGAUAUAAUUAAGGCAUUGUGAGAGUAUAAGGAUACUUUUGCGUGCUCGUACAUGACAUGCCAAGCUUGAUUAUUCAUUUGGUGGUCCGAAAACUGCCAAUUGAUCCAACAUUUCCUCCCGUUAAGCAAAAGUUGAGAAAGUUAAAAACUGAAACGAGUGUGAAGAUUAAAGAAUAAGUCACGAAGUAGCUUGAUGCAAAAGUCAUUCGAGGCACGCGGUAUCCCACGUGGGUAGCCAAUGUUGUGCUCGUGCCAAAGAAAGAUGACAAGAAUAAAGUGUGUGUUGAUUACCACGACCUCGACAAAGCAAGUCUAAAGGACAACUUUCCACUAUCAAAUAUCCACAUUUUGAUCAUUAAUUGUGCCAAGCAUGAGAUUGGGUCUUUUCUGGAUUACUAUCAUCAGAUUUUAGUAGAUGAGAAAGAUAUGGAAAAGACGGCAUUCAUCACACCGUGGGAAACUGCUACCGAGUCAUACCUUUUAGUUUGAAAAUUACUAGGAAAACUUACAUGAGGGCGAUGAAUACCAUAUUCCAUGACAUGAUACAUAAGGAGAUUGAGGUUUACGUGGAUGAUGUCAUCAUAAAGUAUAGGAAGAAGUCUGACCACGUCAAAGAUUUGAGAAAGUUUUUCCAAAGGCUCCACAGGUACAAUCUUAAGCUUAAUCCGGCAAAGUGCGUAUUUGGUGUUCCAUAGGGGAAAUUGUUGGGAUUCAUAGUCAGUCGGCAGGGCAUUGAAUUGGAUCUGUCAAAGAUCAAAGCUAUCUAGGAAUUUCCACCGGCAAAGAACAAGACCAAAAUGAUGAGUCUGUUACGGAGGCUAAACUACAUCAACAGGUUUAUUUCUCAUAUCACGACAACUUGUGAGCCAAACUUUAAGUCGCUAAAGAAUGAUAUUGCGGUCAAAUAGACUGAUGGGUGCCAGGAAGCAUUUGAUAAGAUAAAGGGGUACUUGUCAAACCCGUUUGUGUUGGUCCUCUAGGAAUUUAGAAGAACUUUGAUUUUUUAUUUAACAGUUUUGGAUAAUCCAUUUGGUUGUAUGUUGGGUCAGCAUGACAUCACUUGCUGGAAAAAGCACGACAUCUAUUAUCUCAGCAAGAAGUUCACAUCUUAUGAGGUUAAGUAUACUUCAUUUGAAAGGACCUGAUGCACCCUGACUUGGGUGGCAUAAAAGUUGAAGCAUUAUCUGUCAUCCUACACUACUUACCUCAUCUCUUGUUUGGAUCCUUUGAAGUAUAUCUUUCAGCACCACAUGCCCACAUGAAGGCUCAUAAAGUGGCAAAUCUUGCUCACAGAGUUUGACAUCAUAUAUGUGACACAGACGGCAAUGAAAACCCAAGAUUUGGCCGACCACUUGGCCGAGAAACCGGUGGAUGAAGAAUAUGAACCUUUGAAGACUUACUUUCCUGAUGAAGAGGUAAUGCACAUUGACAAGGUCGAGAAGGAGGCAAAUCCCGGUUGGAAGUUGUUCUUUAAUGGAGUUGCUAUUAUGAAGGGUGUUGGAAUAGGAGAUGUACUCAUUUCUGAAAAAGAGCAUCACUAUCCUAUCACUACUCAGCUUCGUUUCCAUUGUACCAACAACAUGGACGAGUACGAAGCGUGCAUUGUGGGUUUAAGAUUAGCUGUGGACAUGUGAGUCCAAGAAGUGUUGGUAUUGGGAGAUUUAGAUAUGUUAGUGCAUCAGAUUCAGGGAGAAUGGGAGACCCGAGAUUUGAUACUCAUAUCUUAUAGACAAUGUCUGCCGGAUCUCUGUCGACGGUUCGAAUCAGUGGAGUUCAGGCAUAUCCCUAGGAUCCACAAUGAGGUUGUCGAUGCUUUGGCUACUCUGGCGUCGAUGUUACAUCUCCAGAUAAGGCUUAUGUUGACCAUUUGCAUAUUUAGGUCUACGAUCAGCAUGCUUACUGUAACAUGGUGGAAGAAGAACUUGAUUGUGAGCCUUGGUUCCUCGAUAUCAGGGAGUACAUCAGGUCGGGAGUGUAUCCAGAACAAGUCACAGGGGAUCAAAAGAGAUCAAUUCGACGUUUGGAAAGCUGAUUUUUCUUAAGUGGAGGAGUUUAUUACAAAAGAACUCUAGAUCUUGGAUUGUUGAGAUGUAUAGAUGAUAGACAAGCCACGACUAUCAUAACCGAAGUGCAUUUUGGAGUUGGCGGAGUGCGUAUAAGUGGGUAUGUUCUGGCAAAUAAAUAUCUUCGAGCAAGUUAUUAUUGGCUCACCAUGGAGCAAGAUUGCAUCGGUUUUGUGUGCAAGUGUCAUCAAUGCCAAGUACACGGAGAUUUGAUUCAUUCUCGGCCAUCUGAAUUACACACAAUGUCCGCACCAUGACCAUUUGUUUCUUGGGGUAUGGACGUCAUCGGACCAGUUGAGCCAGCAACAUCCAAUAGGCAUAGGUUCAUUUUGGUGUCCAUUGAUUAUUUCACUAAGUGGGUUGAGGCUAAAAUUUUCAAACCUGUGACAAAGAAGGCAGUGAUCAAUUUUGUGCAUGGAAAUAUCAUUUGUCAGUUGGGAUUCCCAAAGGUGAUCAUCACAGAUAACGGUGCCAAUAUUAACAGUCAUCUGAUGAAAGAGGUCUAUCAAGAGUUUAAGAUUAUGCAUCCCAAUUCCACCCCUUACUGUCCUAAGACAAAUGGAGCAGUCGAGACAUCCAACAAAAAUAUAAAGAAUGUACUUCGGAAAAUGGUGCAAGUUUCCAGGAAAUGGCAUGAAAAGUUACCCUUUGUGUUGUUUGGUUAUCGCACCAAAGUUCGCACUUCAGUACGUACAACUCCUUAUUUGUUGGUAUAUGGCAUAGAAGUAGUGAUACUUGCAGAGGUUGAAAUUCCAUCCCUUCGGAUUAUCGUUGAAGCCGGAAUUGAUGAUGAUGAGUGGGUCAAAACCCGUGUAGAGCAAUUGAGUUCGAUUGAUGAGAAAAGAUUUGCAGCGCCAGUUGUAUCAAAAGAGAAUAGCAAGAGCUUACAGCAAGAAGGUGCAUCCCUGCAAAUUUGAAGUGAGUCACCAAGUAUUGAAACGUAUUUUUCCACAUCAGGCUGAAGCAAAAUGCAAUUUUGCCCCAAAUUGGCAGGGCCGUUCAUCAUAACGAGAGUGUUGUCCAAUAUUAUGUAUUUAACAGACAUAGAAAGCAAAUUUGUAGACAUGACUAUCAAUUCUGAUGCAGUCAAAAGAUAUUAUGUAUGAUUUCUUUGGUUUAAAUUGUGUUUGUUUGUACUUGGAAUGUUUUGAAGAUUGAAAUGACGAAGGCAUUUCGUUCUGUUAUCUAAACACUUUAUCCUUUGUUACCCCUUUGAGCUUAAUUUAUUUCCUUUCAUACCCUCUGUUGGAAUCAAUAGCGAAAUUCAGUAAAUAAGUAAAGAAGAAAAGAGAAGAGAAAAUAAAAGGAAAGAAUGGAAAAGAAUGAAAAGAGAGAAAAGAGAGAGAGAAAAUAAAUAAAUAAAAAGAGAGAGAAAAAAGUACAAAAACAAAGCAAUUCCUAUGAUAUGAACUACGUUCGACUUGAUUCUUUUUAUGGAUAUGUAGGUAGUGUUACACCUCCUUUUUUACAUACACCCUCGCGAGGGCGUGGAUAAGGGAGGUUUUUUGAUUUAAAGGACAAUCGAAACGAGAUUAUAUUAUUAAAGGAUUUAGAGUCGCCACAUGGGAGAUUUAUGGCAUCCCAAGUCACCGGUUCAAAUCCCGAAUCAAGAAAAAGAUUGACUCUUACAGUCCGCGAACCAGAAAUCCAGGUAAGGAAGUAUGUUAACCUAGGAGAAUGUGUUAGGAAUUUCCGAGUUCCAAGGUUCUAGCACGGUCACUAAACUGUUAUAAUUGGCAUAAUUAUCUAAUUUAAAAACAUUUUGAACCUAUGUGAAUUUUUAACUUUGAAACUGUUUUUAUUUAUUUGAAGAAGAUUUGACGUAGUCUAAAAUAUGUCUUUGGGUCACGUCACAUGAAAUGCACCCGAUACCUAAAACAUAUUUUAUUCAACGUUAUAAGGAUUUGGAUUUGGGUCGCAUGAAAUGCACACGCAAGUUUAGGAAAGUAAUAGUCUUAAAGUACGCGCCGAAAGUAACUAUGCGUUUUAGUUUUGCGAGGGCCAUGGAAUUUUGCUAAAUGGCACGCCUCGAGUUCUAAGGAUUAAAUUAAAUUUAAUUAAGCGAGGGCCACGCAUUCGUUAUUUUUUUUGGCACGGCGCACCUCAACCCCAAAUUUAAAAGAAAGAAAGAAAGUUCAAUUUAAACGUUGGAGAGCCAUAAACUAUUUACGUUGUUUAAUUUGGAACACCUUAAUUUCUAAAGAGUUAAAAUUAAUUAGGUGAGGACCAUGAGUUUUAGGAUUUUAUUUGGCAUGGCACGCCUCAAAUUAUUCCAAAAGAUUAUACUCAACUAAAGCAAGCUAUGAGAUUUCAAGGCAUUUUCUUCACUAAGAUAAUUAAUGUGAGGGCCAUAGAGUAGGUGAUUGUACUGUACAACUCAAUUUCAUUAAAGGGAAGUAUUCCACUAAGUGAACUAAGGAUAAUCAUAUUUAAUGGUCAACUAAGAAACAAAAAAAUUAAACUAAUCCAAGUCUAUAGCUACUGAACGUAUACCUCUGUAGUAACUACGAUCCAAUUCCCUGGUUCAAACUUCUUUCUUUAAUCUAAUUAAAUCAACCCAGCAAAUUACGUUAACAAACUCUAAACUGACAUUUUCAUGUGACUUCUCAAGAGAGAGUAACAUAAGCACAUGAGAGCAACCUUUGGUUAAAUAAGAGAGCAAAUAAUUAGGCAGAAUCUCAACAAGCAGUAAUAUCCUGCAUUUAAUCACAUAAACUUUACAACUGAAGGCAUGUAUCGAUAAGCAUGCUAACUGAAUAAAAUGAGAAUGGGAGAAAUGAACCUUUCUCAAGCUUAUGAAUAUAUCUACAAUAACUAGUUGGCUUACAAAGAAGACGGGAAAUUACGCCGACAAGAUUGAGCGCAAAUGAUGUCGUCGGACCAUGUCGGAAACAUUAUGUUUUGACUAUUUGGCGUUGGAGAGGGUGUUGCUGGGCGUUGUUCUUGUUGAAGAAAAUCAAUAGGGUUGUUCCUUAGGUCUUAGCUCUGUUGCGUAGGGUGUGCUAUGGUUGGAAACCAAAAAUCUAGAGAGAUGAAGGGUUCCUCUUAUUUUUGUGGUUUCAGAAGAAGAUGAAUAGGCGUUUGGUAUGGAUCUAUUUUUUUUUUAAGCCAAAGCCAUGAAAAUGGUUGUUUUCUUUUCUAGAAGAAGACCCAUCGGGGAAGAUGACCUUUUUGGGUGUUAUCGGCGCAACUUACUUUUUUCUAUAUUUUUCAGGCAUAUUUUUAGGUAUUUUUUAUUGUAGAGUCUAGGUCUAGGUUUAUAUUUUGUGUAUGUUGCCCAUUAGUCUUUUGUGUUAAGUCCUUAAGGUCUUUUUUAUUUGUUUUUGUUUCAAAGAAGAGUCUAGAAGGACCCCUACACUACACAAUGCAUUUUAAAAUAAGAUAAAAAUACUACACAAUGACAAAACUAAUCCUAAUUAAUUAAACUCAACGUGAAAUUAUUUUUAUGUUUUCUAAAUAAUAUAAAGUUAAAAAUAAGGUACUAUUUUUUGUAUUUAUUAAAAUUUAUGAAAAUACAUAAACUGAGAUAUAUAUUUUUUCUUUUUUUUUUAAAAUUUUCAUUCUUAUGGCGAAAAUGAAGUAAAGAAGUCAAAAAUAGUCGAAAUAGCUAUAUUAGGCCUAAAUUAAAUAUUUACGCCUUAAAAUAAGAAAAUUCUUGGGGAGGGUCAAAAAUCACAUGUCUACAAGCAGCCUCACAAUUCGGUCACCGUCAAAAUAAAAAUCCAAAAGUCUUCGAGCAAAGAAACUGGGAGAGAAGUUGUGGAAAGCUAUCUGAUUUCGAAAGUUGUAAUUUUUAAGCCAUUCAAGCUGUUUUGAGCCUCUGUGAUAAGUUUCCUUUCUAACCCGAUCCAAAAGUCAUAUUACGAUCCAAAGAAAGACAUUCCGAUCAGUUUUCGAGAGAUGCCAAUUCGAGCAACUAGAGGUGAUUCAUCUAUGGGGAAACACUCUGUUCUGAGCAAGAAAAUGAGAAAUGAGAGGGUCUUAUUGGUGAAAAACCUUCACCGGCACCAUAAGACGAUAGAAAACUUAGAGAAAUUAAAAAUGAGAGAGUCUUAUUUAUGAAAACCCUCAUGGGCACCGUAAAGCGACUGUGAAUUGAGAGGUAAAUAAAUGAGAGAGGUUUGUUGGUGAAGACCCUUCAGGGCACCACAAGUCGAACAAGGUCAGUGAUUUGGCGGAGAAAUUGGGCUAUGGAGAUCCUGGGGCACAAAGUUUGAUGACUCAAAGGUGAUUGGUGUGACGGGCCCGGCUGAUUAAUCUAAAUUACAUGUCAUGAUCAUUAGUUCCAACGUCCUUGCUCCGAUAAGUUCCUUUUCAUUUCCUCCCUCAAACAGUCAUUCUGUUUCAGUUUCUCUUCUUUAUUUCUUUACCCUCGAAGUCAUUGCAUUUCAUUUCUUUUGGGUUUAUUUCUCUAAGGUUUUUCCAAAUGUCAGCCUUGUUUAAGAAACUAAGAAAGGAUUUUGAAAGCCUACUACUAACUUCCAAAUUGCACAAAGCAAUGUGCGGCCAAAGAACAUCAGAAAUAGCUUAAUGCAAAAAAGAAAGCUUGGUGCCGAUGAAAGUUCAAGCAGUUGAGUGGUUUGUAAGUUUUGUGGAAGAUACAGAGCUUCAAAUUAGAAGCACAAAAAUAUUUAAUGACGGGUUGAGUGUAUAACACUCGGGUCAUUCAGGGUCAUGCAUUUGAGAUUCAGUCAGAAAGGCAAACAGUUCUUGGCAGUUACGAAGCAGCCAAUCAAAGCAAAGCACGGCAACGAAAGGGCCACCUUCAGCGAGAAUGUUGCAAACUAACCACCACAUUCUUAAAAUGACAAGAUUUUUCUUUGAUUGAAACAGAGGCAGAAAAUUACAUUUGUUUCGGAGAAACUCUCCGUAAGGAAAGCAAGUACCGGAUAUGUUUGACCGUAAAUUCUCAGAACCCUCCUGGACAAUGAGACUUAGUUAAAAUUCAAAAUGUUUAUGAGUAACAAGAUCUAGCAUAAAUUCUACUUUGAGGAAAUAUAAGUUGGUUUUAAUGUUUUCAUUCUUAGGAUGAGACUCAAUUGGGCUCUUUCUAAGACCCUCCUGGAUAAUGGGAUUUAGUUUUAAGUCAUUCAUAGAUAACAAGAUUUAGCGGAAGUCAUAUGUUUAGGAAAUAUAACUUAUCUUUAAAACUGCCAUUUAACUAGGAGUUUUCAGGACCCUCCUAGAUAACAGGAUCUAGCUUUUAAAAUUCUUUGAGAUUUUCUGGUAACAUGAAUCAAUUAACACCAACAGAUGUGCCCAGCUACCAAACUGGGGCAGAAAAUUUCAUUUGUUUUGUAUGUUUUGUUGAAAUCAUGCACCCACCUGGAGACCAAGGGAAGACAACAUGAGUUUCAAGAAUGGAAAGCAGUUCAGGCCCAACCAAUUAGGCAUGCACCUGGAGAAACAAGGGAAGAUGGUUCAAAGAAAAGUAGUUUCAAGAAGGAUACAGUUUAUGUGUUGGAAAGCAGGCACCCAACUGGAGAACAAAUGGAAAGCAACAGUUUUAGAGGAGUUAGUUCGAGUUGGAAAUCAAGCACCACCUGGAGAACAAAGGGAAGAUAGUUCAAGUUUUGGAAAUCAGGCGCCCACCUCGAGAACAAAGGGAAAGUAUUCAAGUUUUGGAAAUCAGGCGCCCACCUCGAGAACUAAGUGAAAGCAAUUCAAGUGUUGGUAAUCAGGCACCCACCUGGAGAACAAAGGGAAGACAGUUCGAGUUGGUAAUCAGGCACCCACGUAGAGAAUAAAGGGAAAGUAAUUCAAGUCUUGGUAAUCAGGCGCACUCCUGGAGAACAAAGAGAAAACAAUUCAAGUGUUAGUAAUCAAGCACCAACCUGGAGAACGAAGGGAAAGCAGUUCAAGUUUAGGUAAUCAGGAGCCCACCUGGAGAACAAAGGGAAAGCAGUUCAAGUGUUAGUAAUCAGGCACCCACCUAGAGAACAAAGGGAAAGCAAUGCAAGUGGUUUUAAUCAAGCACCCACCUGGAGAACAAAAGGAAAGUAGUUCAAGUGUUAGGAAUAAAACGCCCACCUGGAGAACAAAGGGAAGUAGUUCAAAUUAUGAGGAAAAACAGUUCAGGUGUUCGAAAUCAGGCGUACACACCUGGAGAACAAAGGAAAAAUAAUUCAAGUUUCAGAGGAAAGGAAUACAAUUCAUACCACGCAACCCCCAGCCCUUCUAAAUCUUAUCCCCACUUCUAAUUCCCCAAAGUCCCUUUGGAAUUCCAUCAAUUCCAAAUAUAGGAAGUUCAAACCCUAAUUUAUUUUAUUUUUCUGGUUCCACGCAAGUUCUGGCUCGCUUUGACCUAUAACCUAUGUUAGUCAAUUGCUCUUGACCAGAGCAAUCGAUGGCCAUUGGAUUCCGAGGAAGCCCAAUUUCAACGAACUUAUCGGAUUUCGACCAAAUGUUCUACUUCCGUCAUCGUUCAUCGGUUCGUUUCAUUUUGUCAAGACAUUUAGGUGUGAAUUGGUACUUUCCCUUCUUUUUUCUAAUGAUUUUGUACGUUGUAGUAUUUUCUGUUCUUAUUUUAUUUUAUUUUUAUUUUCUUCAUUGCUUUUCCUUAUUUUCUUUAUGUAGUGGAAGUAGUUAAAUUAGGUUUAAUCGUAAGAGUCUAAAUUAUUUAUUUGUUUUUUAUUUUCUGAAUGUGACUUCUUUUUGUUUGAUCAUCUCUGAUUUUUGUGUUUUUGUAUUGACUGUGGUCAUCAUUGAUCCGGCUAAGAGACCCGUUCAUUGGGGUCAUGGGUUAAUUUGAUCCAGGUUGCCAUUCUGAAUGUAAAAAAAAGGAUGUCAAGAGGUGUUUUAGAAAUUUGAGGUUUGAGGGAAACAUUUUCUAUUACGAGAAAAUUUCUAUAGGAUGAGAUAAGAGCCGGUUUGUUAAGAGCAGGGGGUUUCAAAUAUUUUAAGGAGGUAAAAAGGGAAAAACAACCAAGAACUUAAAGGUAGAAAGGGAAUUGGUUGGCUGGACUAGGGUUGCCUUAGGCAUGCUUAUAUAUGACCUCUUUUCCUUCACUUUUUAAAGUAGCCUUUCAUACUCUAGAAAUACUGAAAAUUUCCUGCAUUUUGUUGGUUAAAACUUGCUUUGGUUCUGCUCUUGAUCUUCAUAGAUAGUCAGAAUUUUUUAAACUUUCAAAGAAUUUUCGUUGUCUGGGUUAUAAAUGGUCUAAGAAAACUGAGAUUACAAGUGUUGUAUUGUUGAUUUACACUCUCAUGUUGUUGCUGAUUUCUUUUUUUCUUUGUUUGCUCUAAACUUUGUCACGGGUAUCUCUUGGACCUUAUCAAAUGUGAAGCUCAAACUUGAAGCAUGUUAAUUGAAUGUGGAGACAUGAGCAUUAGUAUAAAUUUGAUGCAAUUUAGAAUCUAUCUUUGUUUUAUGCAUUUUAGUAGUUUAUUCUGUAAUUUGUUCUUGUACUCACUCAAUCUAUUGAUAAUAUGUUCCAUGCUAGGUUUGUAUUUGGACUUUAACUUAGCAUGAUAUUGGUUUGGCUAAAACUUUCCUUGUUAAGCAUAUAAUGUCUGGGCUGUUGUAAAGGGUUUUGGGACUCAUCUUGAUGGGUUUUGUUUUGUUCAAGUUAGUAGUGAAGUUCAGCUCGAGAUUAACUCCUAUCAUGACUGUUGUUUUGGGAUCUUGUUUGUAGUACUUGAAUAAAUCUAGGAACCACUGUUGCAUUAUAAUACUUAGUUCAAUGUUUGAGGUAUUUGAUUAUACAUAUGAAUUCAGUGGUAGCUUAUUAGUAGUUUCAAUUCUCAAAUAUAUGUGGCCUGCAACUAAUUUCAACAAAAUGAUCUCCAUGUUUAAUAUUGUCCGUAUGUGCCUAAGGCAAUAAGUUUAGAAAUGGGCCUGUUGAGUUAGCUUGCCUAAUACGAGGCCCAAAACUGUCAAUCCAGUUCUCUUUAGGUCUUCGGCCCAAUCUCAGGCCCAAGGGUCUUUUGCCUUGGCAUAUCAUGUGGCCGUUUGGAUUCAUAUACUAGAAUGCAUUUUUGUUUUCUCCUUUUGUCUUCAUCUAGGUUCGAACUCGGCCCUAACUUGUUAAGUGUUUUGUAUGAUGGCUAUGAAAUAUGCCCCUUCUUUGUUGGGAUUUCAAGGUUGGCCCAGUACCGACCAAAUCAGUUGGGCUUUACCCUCCCUGUCUCCCGUUUGGUUUUGUCUAAGCCCAAGCCCCAUUAGCCUAUUUGCUCUAGUUAUUUCUGCUGAAAUUUAGGUUUGUAAUUGGCCCCCGAAAAUAGUUCAAGGACUAGCAUGUAUCUCAAGUCUUUUACCGGCAGUUCAAAUUUGCCCUCUUCUUUAAAAAUAAGAGUGUCUUGGGAUUUAACUCUUUCUUAACUAAUAAAUUGAGGUGUGCUAUUUAAACCAAAUCACCUAUGGCCCUCACAAACACAUUCGCGUGACAUAAUUACAAUUCUAAAAACCAAUUCGGGGUAUACAUUCGUGCAACUUUAAUCAGAUUUUUCUUAAUAAUAAUUGAUU